GAGUUUGAUCAUGGCUCAGAUUGAACGCUGGCGGUAGGCUUAACACAUGCAAGUCGUGCGAGAAAGUAUCUUCGGAUAUGAGUAGAGCGGCGGACGGGUGAGUAACGCGUAGGAAUCUACCUAGUAGAAGGGGAUAGCCCGGGGAAACCCGGAUUAAUACCGUAUACCUCCUCCGGGAGAAAGAAGGCCUCUCUUUGAAGCUUUCGCUAUUAGAUGAGCCUGCGUAAGAUUAGCUUGUUGGUGAGGUAAAGGCUCACCAAGGCGACGAUCUUUAGCUGGUCUGAGAGGACGAUCAGCCACAUUGGGACUGAGACACGGCCCAGACUCCUACGGGAGGCAGCAGUGGGGAAUAUUGGACAAUGGGCGCAAGCCUGAUCCAGCCAUACCGCGUGUGUGAAGAAGGCCUUCGGGUUGUAAAGCACUUUAAGCAGGGAGAAAAAGUUAUAAGUUAAUACCUUAUAACCUUGAUGUUACCUGCAGAAUAAGCACCGGCUAAUUCCGUGCCAGCAGCCGCGGUAAUACGGAAGGUGCAAGCGUUAAUCGGAAUUACUGGGCGUAAAGCGCGCGUAGGUGGUUUGUUAAGUUGGAUGUGAAAGCCCUGGGCUCAACCUAGGAACUGCAUCCAAAACUAACUCACUAGAGUACGAUAGAGGGAGGUAGAAUUCAUAGUGUAGCGGUGGAAUGCGUAGAUAUUAUGAAGAAUACCAGUGGCGAAGGCGGCCUCCUGGAUCUGUACUGACACUGAGGUGCGAAAGCGUGGGUAGCGAACAGGAUUAGAUACCCUGGUAGUCCACGCCGUAAACGAUGACAACUAGCUGUUGGAAGACAAAGUCUUUCAGUGGCGCAGCUAACGUUUUAAGUUGUCCGCCUGGGGAGUACGGCCGCAAGGCUAAAACUCAAAUGAAUUGACGGGACCCGCACAAGCGGUGGAGCAUGUGGUUUAAUUUCGAUGCAACGCGAAAAACCUUUACCUACUCUUGACAUACUUGGGAGCUCUUGUUAAUGGAGAGUGGNGCCC
This 1018-nucleotide ribosomal RNA is filed under the name uncultured bacterium. Its description in RNAcentral is "bacterial SSU rRNA". It matches the Rfam family "Bacterial small subunit ribosomal RNA", at positions 9 to 1020 of the family's 1533-position model. The record is from RNAcentral.